GAUGAACGCUGGCGGUAUGCUUAACACAUGCAAGUCGAACGGUCACUUCGGUGAUAGUGGCGGACGGGUGAGUAACGCGUGAGAAUCUGUCUUCAGGUCGGGGACAACAGUUAGAAAUGACUGCUAAUACCGGAUGUGCCUUUGGGUGAAAGAUUUAUUGCCUGAAAAAGAGCUCGCGUCAGAUUAGCUAGUAGGUGGUGUAAGAGACUACCUAGGCUCCGAUCUGUAGCUGGUCUGAGAGGACGAUCAGCCACACUGGAACUGAGACACGGUCCAGACUCCUACGGGAGGCAGCAGUGGGGAAUUUUCCGCAAUGGGCGAAAGGCUGACGGAGCAAUACCGCGUGAGGGACGAAGGCUUUUGGGUCGUAAACCUCUUUUCUCAAGGAAGAUGAUGACGGUACUUGAGGAAUAAGCAUCGGCUAACUCGGUG
This 432-nucleotide ribosomal RNA is filed under the name uncultured bacterium. Its description in RNAcentral is "partial 16S ribosomal RNA". It matches the Rfam family "Bacterial small subunit ribosomal RNA", at positions 28 to 507 of the family's 1533-position model. The record is from RNAcentral.